This 483-nucleotide ribosomal RNA is filed under the name uncultured bacterium. Its description in RNAcentral is "partial 16S ribosomal RNA". It matches the Rfam family "Bacterial small subunit ribosomal RNA", at positions 28 to 507 of the family's 1533-position model. The record is from RNAcentral.
GAUGAACGCUAGCGGCAGGCCUAAUACAUGCAAGCAGAACGGUAAGUUUGAUAGUGAUAUUGGACCUAGAGUGGCGCAAGGGUGCGUAACACGUAUGCAACCUGCCCGCGACAGGAGGAUAGCUACCCGAAAGGGGAAUUAACCCCCCAUAACAGCAUGAGAUGCCAUCUGAUUAUGGUUAAACUGCAAGGGGUCGCGGAUGGGCAUGCGGUUGAUUAGAUUGUUGGCGGGGUAAAGGCACACCAAGGCGGUGAUCAAUAGGGGAUCUGAGAGGAAGGUCCCCCGCACUGGCACUGGGAUACGGGCCAGACUCCUACGGGAGUCGGCAGUAGGGAAUAUUGGACGAGGGUCGCAAGGCGGAUCCAGGCAUGCCUCGUGCAGGAAUAAGGCCUGCUGAGUCGUAAACUGCUUGUUCCUGGGGUGAAAAUGCCCGUGCGCGGGGAAUUGAAGGUAACAGGGGAAUAAGCCACGGCUAACUACGUG